This 253-nucleotide ribosomal RNA is filed under the name uncultured bacterium. Its description in RNAcentral is "partial 16S ribosomal RNA". It matches the Rfam family "Bacterial small subunit ribosomal RNA", at positions 524 to 776 of the family's 1533-position model. The record is from RNAcentral.
UACGUAGGGUGCAAGCGUUAAUCGGAAUUACUGGGCGUAAAGCGUGCGCAGGCGGUUAAGCAAGACAGAUGUGAAAUCCCCGGGCUCAACCUGGGAACUGCAUUUGUGACUGCAUAGCUAGAGUACGGUAGAGGGGGAUGGAAUUCCGCGUGUAGCAGUGAAAUGCGUAGAUAUGCGGAGGAACACCGAUGGCGAAGGCAAUCCCCUGGACCUGUACUGACGCUCAUGCACGAAAGCGUGGGGAGCAAACAGG